Molecule: ribosomal RNA, 374 nt
Filed under: Leptaxis sp. 'east' PVR-2004
Lineage: Eukaryota; Metazoa; Mollusca; Gastropoda; Stylommatophora; Hygromiidae
Description: partial 16S ribosomal RNA
Rfam family: Archaeal large subunit ribosomal RNA
Source: RNAcentral
UCCUGCUCAAUGGAUUAACUAAAUAGCCGCAGUACUUUGACUGUGCAAAGGUAGCAUAAUCAUUUGGCUUAUAAUUGAAGUCUGGCAUGAAUGGAUUAAUGGAUAAUAACUGUCUUUCCAUAAUGAUUUGAAUUUACUUAUUAAGUGAAAAUUCUUAUAAAAACAAAAAAGACGAGAAGACCCUAGAAAUUUUUUAUACCCAGUUAAAUUUACUGAUCUAUUUUGUUGGGGCGACAUGGUAGCAAUUAACCUACCCAAAUUUAUAUAAAAUUAUUGAAUAAAGUAAUUAAAUUACUCUAGGGAUAACAGCAUAAUACAAAAGAGUUUGUGACCUCGAUGUUGGACUAGGUAAGUUAAUGUUUAGAAGAUGUUAU